CUCGCCCUAAUCCUGGCUGGACUUCCAGCUGCCAGUACCUCACUUCUUUGCCUAAGAGCUGUCUGUCUCCACCUGAGCCCACUUUGUUCACAUGUUUCGCUGCCCAGAAAUACCCGGGAAUUAGUACCCCGGAGUAGCCCUCUGCAGACGACUGCAUAGAUACCGCAGCUCAUUCCUCACUCAGGUGGAAUAACCCUGAGACACAUGUUCUAAAUUAUUUCCCAGAGUUCCCCGGGGAUUAGAUUCCAGUUGUCCAGAAUGGUAACUGUCUCCAUAAUGCCCCCCUAUUUCUCCUGCCCUUCCGUUCCAUUUCCCCACUCCCCUACAGGGGUCUCCUGAGAUCACCUUCCAAAUAAACUAUACUUGAAUUCUUGGGCUUGACUGUGUCCAGCCUUUGGAAACAGACAGGCCUGGGUUCCACGCCUGUCACUGGCGCUCACUAGCUGUGCAGCUUUGGGCAAAUUCUCCCAAGGCUCUAAGCCUCCACUUCUUCAUGUAUAUAAUAGGGAUGAUAAUACCUAUAUUGCAAUGUUAUUCUGAGAAUGAAAUUACGUGCAACAAUGUACAUAAAUCACUAGCACAUGGCACCAAAAGUGGGCGCUGUCCUUUGGUUUUUAGUAAUAGCGACAGCAACAGAAGCAGUAACAAUAGUGAGCAGUAAAGCUUAGAGCAGACUUCCUCCAACUUUAAUGUGCACUGGAAUCUCCUGGGAUCUUGUUAAACGCAGGUUCUGAUUCAGUCUGGGGCAGAGCCUGAGAUCCUGCUUUUCUAACAAGCUCCCAAGCCAUACCAACGCUGCUGGUCCUCAGACCACACUAUGAGUAGCAAGAAGUUAGAAUACCACCCUCUGUGAGGCAAGGAAUAAGGAAGAUAAAUCAUCUGAAUAAGGACUCACUCUAGGGCCAGUCUUCAAGCAGGUAGGCAUUCCUUCAAGUCUUUCCACUUCUGCUACCAAAUUCUGUUCCACUUACCCAUUUCUGCAUAACAAACUGCCUCAAAACUCAGUGGCUUAGAACAACCAUUUCAUCAUCUCUCACAGUUUGGGUCUGUAAUUUGGGCAGGGCUCAGCUGGGUGAUUCGUCUGUUCCACGUGGUGUUAAGGUAAGUAAUCCAAGGGUAUUUAACGAGCAGCUGGGCUUGUCUGAAGGGUCCACAACUGCUUCACUACCAAGUCUUACACCUUGGCAGGGAUGACCGGAAGGGUGGACUCAGCAGGAGUUGUUGACCAGAACCCUUAUGAGAGGACUCUCCAGGACGAUGGUCUCUGAGUGGUCACCUCUUGCUUGGCAAUGCGAAGUGGCCACAGUGGACACUUCAAGGCUUGGCAGUUCAGGGUUCCAGAGCAAGUAUUGCAGUGAACCAAGAAGAAACUGCCAGGUCUUAUAUCACCUAGCCUUGGAAGUCACACAGCAUCAUUUCUGUCAUACUCUAUUUUUCAAAGCAGCCGUAAGUCCACCCAGAUUCAAGGAAAGUGGACACGACCCCAUGUCUCAAUGAAUUUGCAGCUGUGUUUUAAAACUGCCACAGCUAUCCCUCUGGCCACAAAUGCUACCACGCCUCUCACAUGAAAAAUAUACUCAUUCCUUCCCCGGACUGUCCACUAUGGCGUCAGGCUCUGGCUUAGGCUCAGGCUGGAAGUACAGGAUCCGAUCAUCAAAAUCAGGUCCUUAUCAGGUGUUUCCUAGAGGCAACUCAUUGAUAAACCUUCCAUCUUGUUUCUGUGAGCUCAGUUAAACAUCAGGAACUAAUCU
RNAcentral lists this long non-coding RNA (1751 nucleotides) under Equus caballus (horse). RNAcentral describes it as "lncRNA (ENSECAG00000050382.1)". The record is from RNAcentral. Lineage: Eukaryota; Metazoa; Chordata; Mammalia; Perissodactyla; Equidae.